This 245-nucleotide ribosomal RNA is filed under the name uncultured Lactobacillus sp. RNAcentral describes it as "partial 16S ribosomal RNA". It matches the Rfam family "Bacterial small subunit ribosomal RNA", at positions 116 to 354 of the family's 1533-position model. Lineage: Bacteria; Bacillati; Bacillota; Bacilli; Lactobacillales; Lactobacillaceae. The record is from RNAcentral.
CGUGGGUAACCUGCCCAAGAGAUCGGGAUAACACCUGGAAACAGAUGCUAAUACCGGAUAACAACAGAUGAUGCCUAUCAACUGUUUAAAAGAUGGUUCUGCUAUCACUCUUGGAUGGACCUGCGGUGCAUUAGCUAGUUGGUAAGGUAACGGCCUACCAAGGCGAUGAUGCAUAGCCGAGUUGAGAGACUGAUCGGCCACAUUGGGACUGAGACACGGCCCAAACUCCUACGGAGGCAGCAGGA